Polypterus senegalus (gray bichir) is the source of this 791-nucleotide long non-coding RNA. RefSeq lists it as uncharacterized. Lineage: Eukaryota; Metazoa; Chordata; Cladistia; Polypteriformes; Polypteridae. The transcript is spliced from 5 exons. The record is from RefSeq and is a predicted model, not a curated record.
ACCUGGAUUAGUCACAUGACAUCCCCAAAGCUCCCACAAAAUUAUUCGAAAAUUACUGCAUAGAAGUGCCUGGUGUCCGCUCCUUGGUAUUGUUUUUGAGAUACGCUGAGCGCUCCGCAGUAUUCAAAUUAAGACAACCCACCCCCUAUACCUGGAAGGUUUGCGCAGUCUCACGACGGAGGUGCAAUACAAUUGCAAGUUACAGAAAAGAUCAGGAGUUAGUACGAGGUGGUUGAUGUUUAGAAAGCAAUGGAAUUUCAGACACAGCGUCAAGGUUCUGAAAAUGCAGAAGUUCCAGAAAUUUAUGUUGGAAACCUUCCCACAGACAUAUCUGAGGUGGAAAUAAUAACAAUCUUUUCAAAGUUUUCUGCUCAGAAAGUACGAAAGUUUCACUUUGGUGCAAAGUGACGUUUAUCUUCAACCUGAGAAAUUUCAGUAUUGCUGGGAUUUCCUGUUGCAGUGGAGCCAACCCAACACAGGCAUAGUACCAACAGAAUAGCUUCCAGACCUUUCUGUUUUUAAAAGACAGGAGCACUUUUUCGAAGCUAUAAGCUCAGGACAUGAAAACAAGGCAGACACAGAGGUAUUUGUUUGACAUGGAUGUGGCAACAGGUAUCCCAAUGCAUUUCUCUUCUAACCAUAAUACUGGCGAAUAUACAGCUUUUAUGCAACAAAUUUGAUGAACUACAAGCUAAUGGUCAUUUUUAAUAGAAAUUUCAGAGAAGUUUUCAGUAUGACUUUGUCUGAGAUGUGGCUCUCUGAGCUCAUAAUUGAUGGCUUUGGCAUAUAAG